AGUGAACGCUGGCGGUAUGCCUAACACAUGCAAGUCGAACGGCAGCACAGUAAGAGCUUGCUCUUACGGGUGGCGAGUGGCGGACGGGUGAGGAAUACAUCGGAAUCUACUUUUUCGUGGGGGAUAACGUAGGGAAACUUACGCUAAUACCGCAUACGACCUACGGGUGAAAGCAGGGGAUCUUCGGACCUUUCGCGAUUGAAUGAGCCGAUGUCGGAUUAGCUAGUUGGCGGGGUAAAGGCCCACCAAGGCGACGAUCCGUAGCUGGUCUGAGAGGAUGAUCAGCCACACUGGAACUGAGACACGGUCCAGACUCCUACGGGAGGCAGCAGUGGGGAAUAUUGGACAAUGGGCGCAAGCCUGAUCCAGCCAUACCGCGUGGGUGAAGAAGGCCUUCGGGUUGUAAAGCCCUUUUGUUGGGAAAGAAAAGAAGCAGGUUAAUACCCCGCUGUUCUGACGGUACCCAAAGAAUAAGCAACGGCUAACUUCGUG
RNAcentral lists this ribosomal RNA (492 nucleotides) under uncultured bacterium. Its description in RNAcentral is "partial 16S ribosomal RNA". It matches the Rfam family "Bacterial small subunit ribosomal RNA", at positions 29 to 507 of the family's 1533-position model. The record is from RNAcentral.